CAGUUUCGUGCGGGGCCAGCUGGAGGCGGCGCUAUCGGGCCCCCGUGGCCGCCACAGCCUGGCCGGCCUGGGAUGACAAUGCUUGAGGAACCCUCGCUGGUGCUGCCCUCCUGCCCUCUGCUUGGAACACCUCCCCUAAGUAUCAGUGAGUGGACAUAUAUAUUUGGAUCAAUCGAGUUGCACCCUUUGCCUUCCAGAUCCAUUCCUCCGGCCUCCCUGGCUGGGCAGAAGGACAGCUCUGGACACUUGUGUCGGCACCCAGCCCACUUGUCCCUGCCACAGCUUCAUAUAAGAGAUCCUGCUGUUGCCCAGGCUAGAGUGCAAUGGCUAUUCACAGGGGUAGAUCUGCAUAGACCCUACACACCGUGGGACAGACAUGAAGCAUGCUGGCCCAGGAGGACACUUCGGAAGGGAAGAGAGGGCAGAAUUCCUGGCAACAGCCCCCGACGCUGGGUCAGGUAGGGUCUUACCUGAAG
This is a long non-coding RNA of Symphalangus syndactylus (siamang), 476 nucleotides long. RefSeq lists it as uncharacterized. Lineage: Eukaryota; Metazoa; Chordata; Mammalia; Primates; Hylobatidae. The record is from RefSeq and is a predicted model, not a curated record.